Plutella xylostella (diamondback moth) is the source of this 546-nucleotide non-coding RNA. The record is from RefSeq and is a predicted model, not a curated record. NCBI's taxonomy places the organism in Eukaryota, Metazoa, Arthropoda, Insecta, Lepidoptera, Plutellidae.
CACUAAGGGCGGCUUGCGUAACGUAUGAUAAUUGUGUUUAGGGGUAAAAUAAACACAUUUAGGUUGUUAAAUGCAAUUAACGUCUUGCAUAGCAAAAAUUUUGUUCUUAAAUACGUUUAUCGAAGUGUCAAAGUUAAAUACCAAAAAUUGGCUGUUUAGCGCCGCUAAAUACGUUUAGUGGCAUUGUAUCUGUCAAAAACGGCGGCAAUGAAGCAUGUCGUACCUAUACCUAGUACCAUUACAAUUCCUAAGCUUGGACCAUUUCCCACCACGCUGGUCCACUGAGGGUUGGUGUGUUUACAUAUCAAGAUGUGCUUAAUCUAGAUAUGUAGGUUUCCUCGCGAUGUUUUCCUUCAUUCAUGGUAUUGCUUGAUAUUGGUGAGCCACUUUUUCCACUCAUACUUACUUUGAGUUUUAUCACAAACUGAAAUGAAAUUCCAACAUCUGUAGGUAUGCUAACGCAACGCUUUCAUAGGAGAACAGAACUAGAGGGGAUAUGGAGAGGACAGAGGAGUUGCAGAAGAGGGAGAAAUCAAUUCAAUUCUU